RNAcentral lists this ribosomal RNA (484 nucleotides) under uncultured bacterium. RNAcentral's name for it is "bacterial SSU rRNA". It matches the Rfam family "Bacterial small subunit ribosomal RNA", at positions 28 to 526 of the family's 1533-position model. The record is from RNAcentral.
GACGAACGCUGGCGGCGUGCUUAACACAUGCAAGUCGAACGGAAAGGCCCUUCGGGGUGCUCGAGUGGCGAACGGGUGAGUAACACGUGGGUGAUCUGCCCUGCACUUUGGGAUAAGCCUGGGAAACUGGGUCUAAUACCGAAUACACCUCACUGUCUGCAUGGGUGGUGGGGGAAAGCUUUUGCGGUGUGGGAUGGGCCCGCGGCCUAUCAGCUUGUUGGUGGGGUGAUGGCCUACCAAGGCUACGACGGGUAGCCGGCCUGAGAGGGUGUCCGGCCACACUGGGACUGAGAUACGGCCCAGACUCCUACGGGAGGCAGCAGUGGGGAAUAUUGCACAAUGGGCGCAAGCCUGAUGCAGCGACGCCGCGUGGGGGAUGACGGCCUUCGGGUUGUAAACCUCUUUCACCAUCGACGAAGCCUUCGGGUGACGGUAGGUGGAGAAGAAGCACCGGCCAACUACGUGCCAGCCGCCGCCGUAACAC